GGGUGAGUAACACGUGGAUAACCUACCUAUAAGACUGGGAUAACUUCGGGAAACCGGAGCUAAUACCGGAUAAUAUUUCGAACCGCAUGGUUCAAAAGUGAAAGACGGUCUUGCUGUCACUUAUAGAUGGAUCCGCGCUGCAUUAGCUAGUUGGUAAGGUAACGGCUUACCAAGGCAACGAUGCAUAGCCGACCUGAGAGGGUGAUCGGCCACACUGGAACUGAGACACGGUCCAG
Molecule: ribosomal RNA, 236 nt
Filed under: uncultured Staphylococcus sp.
Lineage: Bacteria; Bacillati; Bacillota; Bacilli; Caryophanales; Staphylococcaceae
Description: partial 16S ribosomal RNA
Rfam family: Bacterial small subunit ribosomal RNA
Source: RNAcentral